GUGGGGAAUCUUGCGCAAUGGGCGAAAGCCUGACGCAGCCAUGCCGCGUGAAUGAUGAAGGUCUUAGGAUUGUAAAAUUCUUUCACCGGGGACGAUAAUGACGGUACCCGGAGAAGAAGCUCCGGCUAACUUCGUGCCAGCAGCCGCGGUAAUACGAAGGGGGCUAGCGUUGCUCGGAAUUACUGGGCGUAAAGGGCGCGUAGGCGGACAGCUUAGUCAGAGGUGAAAGCCCAGGGCGCAACAUUGGAAUUGCCUUUGAUACUGGCUGUCUUGAGUUUGGGAGAGGUGAGUGGAACUCCGAGUGUAGAGGUGAAAUUCGUAGAUAUUCGGAAGAACACCAGUGGCGAAGGCGACUCACUGGCCCAAUACUGACGCUGAGGCGCGAAAGCGUGGGGAGCAAACAGGAUUAGAUACCCCGGUAGUCC
RNAcentral lists this ribosomal RNA (425 nucleotides) under uncultured bacterium. RNAcentral describes it as "partial 16S ribosomal RNA". It matches the Rfam family "Bacterial small subunit ribosomal RNA", at positions 354 to 796 of the family's 1533-position model. The record is from RNAcentral.